GAUGAACGCUGGCGGCGUGCCUAAUACAUGCAAGUCGAGCGAACGGACGAGAAGCUUGCUUCUCUGAUGUUAGCGGCGGACGGGUGAGUAACACGUGGAUAACCUACCUAUAAGACUGGGAUAACUUCGGGAAACCGGAGCUAAUACCGGAUGAUAUUUUGAACAGCAUGGUUCAAAAGUGAAAGACGGUCUUGCUGUCACUUAUAGAUGGAUCCGCGCUGCAUUAGCUAGUUGGUAAGGUAACGGCUUACCAAGGCAACGAUGCAUAGCCGACCUGAGAGGGUGAUCGGCCACACUGGAACUGAGACACGGUCCAGACUCCUACGGGAGGCAGCAGUAGGGAAUCUUCCGCAAUGGGCGGAAGCCUGACGGAGCAACGCCGCGUGAGUGAUGAAGGUCUUCGGAUCGUAAAACUCUGUUAUUAGGGAAGAACAUAUGUGUAAGUAACUGUGCACAUCUUGACGGUACCUAAUCAGAAAGCCACGGCUAACUACGUG
Molecule: ribosomal RNA, 497 nt
Filed under: uncultured bacterium
Lineage: Bacteria
Description: partial 16S ribosomal RNA
Rfam family: Bacterial small subunit ribosomal RNA
Source: RNAcentral